Molecule: ribosomal RNA, 253 nt
Filed under: uncultured bacterium
Lineage: Bacteria
Description: partial 16S ribosomal RNA
Rfam family: Bacterial small subunit ribosomal RNA
Source: RNAcentral
UACGUAGGGUGCGAGCGUUAAUCGGAAUUACUGGGCGUAAAGCGUGCGCAGGCGGCUUUGCAAGACAGAUGUGAAAUCCCCGGGCUCAACCUGGGAACUGCAUUUGUGACUGCAAGGCUAGAGUACGGCAGAGGGGGAUGGAAUUCCGCGCGUAGCAGUGAAAUGCGUAGAUAUGCGGAGGAACACCAAUGGCGAAGGCAAUCCCCUGGGCCUGUACUGACGCUCAUGCACGAAAGCGUGGGGAGCAAACAGG